Molecule: ribosomal RNA, 266 nt
Filed under: uncultured bacterium
Lineage: Bacteria
Description: partial 16S ribosomal RNA
Rfam family: Bacterial small subunit ribosomal RNA
Source: RNAcentral
GUCCACGCCGUAAACGAUGAGUGCUAAGUGUUAGAGGGUUUCCGCCCUUUAGUGCUGCAGCUAACGCAUUAAGCACUCCGCCUGGGGAGUACGGCAGCAAGGCUGAAACUCAAAGGAAUUGACGGGGCCCCGCACAAGCGGUGGAGCAUGUGGUUUAAUUCGAAGCAACGCGAAGAACCUUACCAGGUCUUGACAUCCUCUGACAACCCUAGAGAUAGGGCGUUCCCAUUCGGGGGACAGAGUGACAGGUGGUGCAUGGUUGUCGU